GACGAACGCUGGCGGCGUGCUUAACACAUGCAAGUCGAACGGAAAGGCCCUGCUUUUGUGGGUUGCUCGAUUGGCGAACGCGUGAGUAACACGUGAGUAACCUGCCCUUGACUUUGGGAUAACUUCACGAAACUCCGGCUCAUACCGCAUAUGAGCUCCUGCUCCAUGUUGGGCGUUGGAAAGUUUCGGCGGUUGGGGAUGUACUCGCGGCUUAUCCGCUUGUUGGUGGGGUAGUGGCUUACGAAGGCUUUGACGGGUAGCCGGCAUGAGAGGGUUAACGGGGUCAUGGGGACUGAGAGACGGCGCAGACGGCUACGGGAGGCAGCAGGAGAGAAUAUUGCACAAUGAGCGGAAGCCUGAGGCAGCAACGCCGCGUGCGGGAUGACGGCCUUCGGGUUGUAAACCGCUGUGGCCGGUGACGAAGAGGGAGUGACGGUAAUGGGUAAAGAAGCAACGGCUAACUACGUG
Molecule: ribosomal RNA, 468 nt
Filed under: uncultured bacterium
Lineage: Bacteria
Description: partial 16S ribosomal RNA
Rfam family: Bacterial small subunit ribosomal RNA
Source: RNAcentral